Molecule: long non-coding RNA, 317 nt
Filed under: Gossypium raimondii (Peruvian cotton)
Lineage: Eukaryota; Viridiplantae; Streptophyta; Magnoliopsida; Malvales; Malvaceae
Description: long non-coding RNA (GRAI_LNC008312)
Source: RNAcentral
UUCUGAUUUUAAUGGUAUAGUAUGGUAUCAAAGGAAGCCCUCUUCUCUUAGCAUCAAAUACUAACCCAGAAACUGAUUCAAAAUACUAUGGACAAGAAAUUUAAAAAAAAUAAAAAGAUAAAAAAUUUGCAGAAACUAAAACACAUCUACUACAAAAACUUGCAAUAAAGCUUCCAGAAAUCAAGAGAUCCUCUACAAACCAAACUCGAGCAGAAGAAACCCCUAGCCUAGAGCUUGAUAUUUUACCUUCGAUAAACCAGCAGAGGUGAACCAGCACACUAACGAGGCAAGCAAAGAGAAGAGGUGAACCAGCAGAG